This 204-nucleotide ribosomal RNA is filed under the name Clostridioides difficile. RNAcentral describes it as "partial 16S ribosomal RNA". It matches the Rfam family "Bacterial small subunit ribosomal RNA", at positions 337 to 558 of the family's 1533-position model. Lineage: Bacteria; Bacillati; Bacillota; Clostridia; Peptostreptococcales; Peptostreptococcaceae. The record is from RNAcentral.
UCCUACGGGAGGCAGCAGUGGGGAAUAUUGCACAAUGGGCGAAAGCCUGAUGCAGCAACGCCGCGUGAGUGAUGAAUGCCUUCGGGUCGUAAAACUCUGUCCUCAAGGAAGAUAAUGACGGUACUUGGGGAGGAAGCCCCGGCUAACUACGUGCCAGCAGCCGCGGUAAUACGUAGGGGGCUAGCGUUAUCCGGAUUUACUGGG